This 364-nucleotide unclassified non-coding RNA is filed under the name Hevea brasiliensis (rubber tree). Lineage: Eukaryota; Viridiplantae; Streptophyta; Magnoliopsida; Malpighiales; Euphorbiaceae. The record is from RNAcentral.
GGCCAUGACAGGUGAAGCAUCACAUAUACCAGGUACGAUUUGCCACUGCCUGAAUUCACCUCUAAACCCUCUAGAUAUGCUUCCACUUCCCAUUCCUCCAAGUGGAACGCCCUGAGAUGCUGAUGGCUUGCAACUUUCCCGGGUGAAGGGAUCUAUAGGUGCUUUCCUUCCAUGAGAUGCCUCUUCCCUGACAUAAGACCACAGUCUUAUUCCCAAUCGAACCAUUUUUACUGCUUCCUUAAAUGUAACACUGAAUUCUUUGAGAAUAUUGGCAUGGCUGUUUAAUCUCCUUCUCCAGGCCUGCUCUGGAGGGGCAGCACUAUCAAAAUCCAAUAAUUGCAAGGUGGCUCUGCUGAUAUACUCC